CCUACGGGAGGCAGCAGUGAGGAAUAUUGGUCAAUGGGCGCGAGCCUGAACCAGCCAAGUAGCGUGAAGGAUGACUGCCCUACGGGUUGUAAACUUCUUUUAUAAAGGAACAAAGUGAGGCACGAGUGCCUCUUUGGAUAGACUCUAUGAAUUAGGAUCGGCUAACUCCGUGCCUGCAGCCGUGGUAAUAAGGAGUAUCCGAGCGUUAUCCGGCAUCAUUGGGUUUAAAGGGAGGGUAGAUGGGUUGUUAAGUCAGUUGUGAAAGUUUGCGGGUCAACCGUAGCAGUGCAAUUGAGACUGACAGCCUUGAGUAAGGGUGAGGUAGGCGGAAUUCGUGGUGUAGCGGUGAAAUGCGUAGAUAUCACGAGGAACUCCGAUUGCGAAGGCAGCCUACUGGACUGCCACUGACGUUGAGGCACGAAAGUGUGGGUAUCGAACAGGAUUAGAUACCCUAGUAGUC
RNAcentral lists this ribosomal RNA (460 nucleotides) under uncultured bacterium. RNAcentral describes it as "partial 16S ribosomal RNA". It matches the Rfam family "Bacterial small subunit ribosomal RNA", at positions 338 to 795 of the family's 1533-position model. The record is from RNAcentral.